Poecile atricapillus (Black-capped chickadee) is the source of this 4518-nucleotide RNA transcript. It is a transcript of the gene named histamine receptor H2, with no coding region annotated. The transcript has 4 exons. NCBI's taxonomy places the organism in Eukaryota, Metazoa, Chordata, Aves, Passeriformes, Paridae. The record is from RefSeq and is a predicted model, not a curated record.
GCUCGCAGCACACGCUCCUGCCUUCACAGCUCAGCCACUCGCACCGGGGAAAGUUGGAGUCAAGUGCAGCCUCUGGAGUCUCCCACACGCUCAGGAGCUGUGAGAAAGCAGCGCCUUUCCCAGGUUGUCCUCAGGAGGUGGCAAAGCUCUGUCCCUGCUGGAGCACUGCUGGCCACUGUCACCAACCAGACAUGCAGAGGGCAUGAGAGCCCACAGGACCUGACCCAGGGGUCACUCAGAGGAAAGGAGAAGGCAAGAAAGGAAAAGAAGCAGUUGAGAUCCAUCAGCAGCUGCCACAGGGCAUCAGCUCCAGCACUGAGCUCCCAGAGGGGGGAGCAGGCACAAAUGAGUUGCAGUGCCACAUCUCUUCUAGACCAUGUCAUUCCCAGCACACAAGGCUGAACAUGUAAAGUGACUUUGCAAUGUUCUCCAAGGUCACUGUAGAACAAGGGUCACUUUGGGAAGGGCUCUAGGCCUGCCUGGUACGGGCUCACUCCAAGCAGCUUUGGAGCUGAUGAGAGCAGGACUGCUCCAUCCUUGCAGUGACACCAUGGAUCCAUGUUACAACCACACAAGCUCUCAAAAUAGGAUGGAUUUUCCCCUGCAGCUGCUGGUCGGGUUCUGCCUCGUCAUCCUCAUCACGAUCACCCUCUGUGGCAACAUCAUCGUCUGCCUGGCCGUCACCUUCGACCGCCGGCUCCGGAGCUUGACAAACUGCAUCAUUGUCUCCUUGGCCAUCACAGAUCUGCUGCUGGGGCUUCUGGUGCUGCCAUUCUCUGCUUUCUAUGAACUCAACAAGGAGUGGACCUUUGGCAGCGUUUUGUGCAACAUCUACAUCAGCCUGGACGUCAUGUUGUGCACGGCCUCCAUCCUCAACCUCUUCAUGAUCAGCCUGGACCGUUACUUCGCUGUCACCAGCCCGCUCCGCUACUGCCAGGUGGUCACUCCCUCCCGGGUGGCCGUGGGUUUGGUUGUUAUUUGGACCGUUUCGCUGAUGGUUUCCUUCCUACCCAUCUACCUGGGCUGGAACACCAACGGGACAGCAGUGCAAAACACAGGCCCCACCUGCAACAAGGAGUGCACGCUGGCGGUGAACCCCGUGUACGGGUUAGUGGACGCCUUGCUCACCUUCUACAUCCCUUUGGUCAUCAUGUGCAUCACCUACUACCGCAUACUCAAGAUAGCGAGGGAGCAGGCCAAGAGGAUAAACCACACGUGGGGCAACACGCCCAUGCCACCCAUGGUGAAGGAGCACAAAGCCACCAUGACGCUGGCAGUGGUGCUGGGAGCGUUCAUCGUCUGCUGGUUCCCCUAUUUCACCGUGUUCACCUACCGGGGGGUGUGGGGGGACAGCAGGGUCAAAGGCACACCCAUGUCCAUUGUUCUCUGGCUGGGCUAUGCCAACUCAGCCCUGAACCCCAUCCUCUACGGGACGCUCAACAGGGAUUUCCGAGUGGCAUACCAGCACUUGCUGCAGUGCUGGAGGACGGGACACCCCAGGAACUCCCACCUGCCUCCCCUCCAGAAUGCCCAGCCCAGGGGCAGGCAGGGCCAGGGCAGGCAGGAGGGUAAACCUUUGAAACUGGAAGUGAGGAACAAGAAGGGGACCCUGCUCACCGAUGGAGCCCUCAAGAGCACUGGAGCUUUUCUGUGAGUCUCAGCCAGCCCGCUGCCCUAGGACCCGCAUCUCCCAGCCUUUAACUCCUGGCUGCCCUCUUCCAAAAUCCUGUGUGUGAAGUUGAAAGGACAACACUCAGCUUUCCUCAGCGCAAAACUCAGCAGCAGAAGCGAGAUCUGCAGGGAUCCUUGCUCUGGCAUGUGGCAUUCGCUCCAUCCCCAAGCACUGCUGGAGAGGCCUCUGCCCACCCAGGUUUCUUCCCAGGAGGGUGGUGUGUUAGAAGAGCCCUCAGAGGAGCUGCAGAAGAACAUCUCCCCUGGCCUGUCUGAGCCGUGACACUUUCAGCAUCAAGCCCCACACGAGCAGGAAGAGAUGCCUGAGGAGCUGGGCUGGGAGGCAGGGCUGGGAGUGCCCUCUCCAGACCCAUGGCACAGGGUAGAGGGGAAAAGGGACUGAUGUUGAGGUCUUGGUGCCAGGCAGACCAGCCUAGGAUGGAGAAAAGCAGAACAGGCACUACCUUCCCUGGUGUCCUCGGGAUGUAUCCACCCAUCAGAGGGGGCAAGGGCCUGGUAGAUGGGGGUGAAGUGGCAGGAGGGCUCAGAGUGGUGGAAGUUGGCAACCACAAGUGCCGGAUAUCUGGGCACAGGACAUCCCAGUCCCUCAGCACGCAUGCUGUGCAUGGCUGCCUCCCAUUCCUGGGGCUGUCCUUACACCAAAUCACCUGUCCCAGCCCUAGUGCAAGGCAGAGAGAAGCCCUGGAGCCUGCUGGGCCAUGGGGAGACACUCAGCAGCCAGGGUUUGCCCCAGGCUCUGCCCUCCCCAGCAGCUCAACAGUAAGGCUCCCAAAAGAGGAUGUUUCUUCCCUGAGUGUAUGCAGAAAUCAUCAGUGGUAUAAAAAUCUAUUUAAGACAGAAGGAAAAUGAGAUAUUUUAUUUUUGUGGGUGUGUGUGCUUUGUCCUGGGAGGAGCCUCCCUGCCCUGCUCCACCCUGCUGUCCCAUGCCCAUCCCUCUGCCAGGACAGAACCUGGACACCAGCACAAACACCCAAGACACAGGCACAGCUGCCCUGGGCAAGGCUGGCACCCCCCAGAGCACAUCUUACCCUGUGGCACCAACCAGCUGGUCCCUCCGUGGUCCCUCAGCUGAUGGAGCAGGGGACACCUUUGCCAUCCCCCAGGAGGCCCCAGCUCAGGGGUCCCCCUGCUUGCUGCAGGCACAGCCUGGCCCCAAGCUCCAGCCACACCGUGGGUAUCACCCACUGUCACCAUCACCCAUGGCAGGGCUGGGCUCCCUGACCUGGCACAGCACACCCCACUCACUCCCAAAACUCCUCAACACCCCCUGAGCCACCACAGCACUGAUUGUCAGCAUCUGCCACCGGUCCCACUGUGGGGUUCACCCUGCCACCGCUAAUUACAGAGAGCAAUUAUCACCCAAAGAGCGAGAAAAGCUGAGAGAGGGGAGUGCUGCAGCCCCAGUGCCUCCCAGCACCAGCCAGACACCGGUGGGCAAGGAAACAUCCCCAGCAAGGUGAUGCCCUGGCAGGGGAGGUCCCCUCAUGGGAUAAGGAGCUAUGAAGCUCCUGGGCCAAGCCCACCAGAGCAGACUGAGAAGUUGCCUCAGCAGCAGCUUUACAGAGCAGCAGGAGCUGAAUCCCUGCAGAGGAGCACACGGAGCUCUCGUCUUCCCCAAACAAAGCCGGCAGGAGCAGGCCGGAAUCGCCUGCAGCAUCCACGCUCUGCUCCAGCUCAGAGGAGAACUGGCAAACACACACCCAAACCCCUGCCACCUAUGAUAACAAUUAGAGACUUAUCUAAUUGCAAAAAUAAUUGCAAUUGAAGUGUUUAAUUACCAUACUAAGCAGGAAGAGCAGUUUCCUACUGUUCCAGUAGCACUCCCGAUCCAUCAAACAAGGUUUGGGGCUUGUUUGGGUGCUGGGUUUUUUUAGGUUUUUUUUGGUUUUCUUUUUUUGAUUAUUAGAUUGCAGCCCCAGGGGAUGAAGAGAUUUGCUAAUUAGGGUCUUGGAGAACAGCUACCAAUUCACAAGCACUUGCUUUUAAUUUCAAUACUAACGAGGCUGGAAGGGGGAGAAAUCCAAAAUGCAGAACAUCUGUGGCAGUGCUGGCUGCAGCAGCGCUGCCCCCAGCCCCUCCUCGCUGGGCUGGCACUGCUCAGGGACCAUCCCAGAGACCGCAGGGAUGGGCUGGGGGGUGCAAGCACUCCCCACAGAUGGGAUGGCCAGUGCAAGCAUGAGCAGGGUGGAGCUGCUGCUCCGGGUCGCUGCUGUCACCGCAGCCACCCCACAAACUAAUCCCAGCAUCGAUCAUCUGUCUAAUCCCAUCAGGGACCAUCAGCUUUCUCAGUGAUGGGCUAAUCCUGGUCCUGAGGCAGCCGUUCCAUCCCCUGGGGGUGCAGCAGCAAGAAUUUCUCCAGGUGACAUUCGGUUUUGUUCUCCUCUAAACUGACAACAAAAGAGAAUUUAAUUCUCUCGCCAAGCAGCAAUUCUGUGAGGGAAAAGAAACUGCUUAGGAAGCUCCUAACCAACAUCUGCUCUCUCAGAUAGGAAAUAUCCCCUGCUAGUGGAGGGAGCACAGGCAGGGCUGGCUGCCAAGUGCAUGGGGACACCCCCAUCCCCCUGUCCCUGCAGGGGACACAGGAGCUCACACUGCCCUGUGUGCGACACCCAAUCCUCACCUUGCUCCACCAAACCACCCAGGGACUUCUUCCACCAAACCACCUUUCACAUCCUUGCCACAGCUCUGGGAAGGAUCCAAAAAUCUGCAGAGAGGAGACACAGGGAAGGAGAGAAGUGCUCGGGAGGCAGGAGCAGCUGCAGGGCAUCCAGGCGUCCUGUCCCCCAGGAGCGCAGCUGAGACGUGGUGGCUGCCACGGGCCGGAGG